ACGUCAAGUCCUCAUGGCCCUUACACGCUGGGCUACACACGUGCUACAAUGGCGGUGACAGUGAGCAGCUAACCCGCGAGGGCAUGCUAAUCUCCAAAAGCCGUCUCAGUUCGGAUUGCUCUCUGCAACUCGGGAGCAUGAAGGCGGAAUCGCUAGUAAUCGCGGAUCAGCACGCCGCGGUGAAUACGUUCCCAGGCCUU
Molecule: ribosomal RNA, 200 nt
Filed under: uncultured organism
Description: partial small subunit ribosomal RNA
Rfam family: Bacterial small subunit ribosomal RNA
Source: RNAcentral